UACGUAGGGUGCGAGCGUUGUCCGGAAUUAUUGGGCGUAAAGAGCUCGUAGGCGGUGUGUGACGUCGGCCGUGAAAACCUGCAGCUUAACUGUGGGCGUGCGGUCGAUACGGGCAUCACUGGAGUUCGGCAGGGGAGACUGGAAUUCCUGGUGUAGCGGUGAAAUGCGCAGAUAUCAGGAGGAACACCGGUGGCGAAGGCGGGUCUCUGGGCCGAUACUGACGCUGAGGCACGAAAGCGUGGGGAGCAAACAGG
This 254-nucleotide ribosomal RNA is filed under the name uncultured bacterium. Its description in RNAcentral is "partial 16S ribosomal RNA". It matches the Rfam family "Bacterial small subunit ribosomal RNA", at positions 524 to 776 of the family's 1533-position model. The record is from RNAcentral.